UCCCCGGUAGUAUAUCGGUUAGUACAUGCGCCUGUCACUUUACAGGCCGCGCAAGAGCCGAGUUCGACUCUCGGCCGGGGAG
Molecule: non-coding RNA, 82 nt
Organism: Gelatoporia subvermispora B
Lineage: Eukaryota; Fungi; Basidiomycota; Agaricomycetes; Polyporales; Gelatoporiaceae
Source: the annotation of a GenBank genome assembly